Molecule: ribosomal RNA, 471 nt
Filed under: uncultured bacterium
Lineage: Bacteria
Description: partial 16S ribosomal RNA
Rfam family: Bacterial small subunit ribosomal RNA
Source: RNAcentral
GACGAACGCUGGCGGCGUGCUUAACACAUGCAAGUCGAACGAUGAAGCCUAGCUUGCUAGGUGGAUUAGUGGCGAACGGGUGAGUAAUACGUGAGUAACCUACCUUUAACUCUGGGAUAAGCCUGGGAAACUGGGUCUAAUACCGGAUACGACCAAUCUCCGCAUGGGGUGUUGGUGGAAAGCGUUAUGUAGUGGUUAUAGAUGGGCUCACGGCCUAUCAGCUUGUUGGUGAGGUAACGACUCACCAAGGCGACGACGGGUAGCCGGCCUGAGAGGGUGACCGGCCACACUGGGACUGAGACACGGCCCAGACUCCUACGGGAGGCAGCAGUGGGGAAUAUUGCACAAUGGGCGCAAGCCUGAUGCAGCGACGCCGCGUGAGGGAUGACGGCCUUCGGGUUGUAAACCUCUGUUAGCAGGGAAGAAGAGAGAUUGGCGGUACCUGCAGAGAAAGCGCCGGCUAACUACGUG